ACUAGGCAUCUUUUUAUUAUAGACCCAGAAAUGGGAUAACUGACCAGGAUAAUGGGAGGGUUUCUAUAAGGAAACUAUGAAGAUUACCGAGAGGUGAUAAUAGUAGUAACAGUGAAAUGAUACAUCUGAGUAACUGUAAAAAACCAAGAGGGUUUAUACAAGUAAUGGUGAAUGAAAGUAUAAAACAUAAGAAUCAGUGAUGAGGAUUGUGUGAUAACGAUUGGUGUUCGGUGAAAGUACCGGAGAAAUUAAAGAUGACCGAUAGUGGAAAGUACUGAGAAGGAACGUAAGAAACUGGAAUGUAAAAUAAGUAGUGUUGAUAGGCGUACCUUUUGCAUAAGGGCUUGACAAGUUUAUCUGUAUGGCGAGCUGAAAGGCGUAGAGAAAUCGUAAUAGUCAUGCGGUUAAGACCCGAAACGGACUGAACUAAUCUUGGCCAGAUAUAAUGAUCGAAUCCGUGUCUGUGGCAAUAGACUGGAGUGAGUUAAGAUUAGAGGUGAAAUGCCAAUCAAAGUCCGCGAUAGCUGGUUCUAGGCGAAACGUGUUUUAGCACGGCGUGUUUUAAUGAGUAAGUGGGGUAGAGGUUAUAUAUUUAAUGUAUGUAAACUGUCGAAUACGCUUAUGAAGGAAAUGCAGACGGACUAUGGAUGCGAAAGUCAAUGGUCGAGAGGGUAACAACCCAGAAUAAUGGAUAAGGUAAUAAAUGGCGGUUAUACAAGAAAGAUUUAUGUAUCGAAGACGGGGUAUCAGUAACCUUGAAAGUAGGAAUCUGUGAGACAACGUGUAAUAACGGGAACUCAAGAGAUAUGUAGAUUUGAGAAUGUAGAGAAGGACGUCAACCGAAGCCGUAUUGUUAGAGGAAACUUUAAUGGGUAGCCGAGCAAUCUGUAAGGCGUGUAUAUUAGAUAUAAUAACACAAGAUCUAAGCAGAUAAGAGAAUGUCAAGAUGAGUAACCAAGAUUUAGAUCUAGUUUAAAGUGUAAGUGUAUGCGAUUAAGGUUGAAAAUCAAGAUCAGCGUAAAACGGUACCUAAGGGGAAACUGAGAAGUGUACUUGAUGGGUGGUAUGCAGUGAAGUAUAUGAUUUUAUAUACCAGGAAAAACUGGCAUGGAAAAGAAACCGUAAUAAAACCGACACAGGUACAUUAGUGUAAGCGCAUGACAACUAGGCGGAAGGUUUAUUAAGGAAUUCGGCAAAAUAACAAGGUAACUUCGGGAGAACUUGGGAGAAUACGUGAGAAAUGUAUUUUUAGCAUGUAAUGGUGUUCAGUGACUGUUUAACAAAAACAUAGGUAACCGUAACCUUGAAAGGGGUAAAAGGGUUGCUGACGUCUGCCCGGUGCUUAGAGAUAACCAUCAAAUGGGUAAGGAUGAUAAGGGAGAGUAAACGGCGGCGAUAACUAUAAUCGUCCGAAGGUAGCGAAAUUCCUUGGCUAUUAAUUGUAGUCCUGCAUGAAGACGUAACAACUGAACGACUGUCUUAAUAACUUAGUCGGUGAAAUUGGAAUGGUUGUGAAGAUACAGCCGUAUUACAAGAAAGACGAAAAGACCCUGUACACCUUAACUGGGGGCAUAUAUACGGAAUGUAAAGGAGAAAGCAGUGGAAACGGUGGUAUAGAAAUAUACAGAAGUGAAAGACCGUAAUCUGUAAACAGGAAGUGAUAGAGUAUAUGUUGGCUAGUUUACAUGGGGCGUGGGCCUCUAAAAGAGUAACAGAGGUUAGCAUAUGGCAUGUGUACUAAAAAGGAAGCGUGCUUGACAGUCAAGAAUAAGGUAGAACCGAUCUAACUAAAAAUUCGAAGAGGGACACCUCAGACUGGUAUGGGUGGAAUUAAUGAGAAUUAAUAAAACCUGUAGGCUUUAAAUAUCCGGUAUAACUGAUAAAUAAGUAUAUCGCAAAAGAAUAAAAGGUACGUCAGGGAUAACAGGCUAAUGUUCUUUCAGAGAUCAAAUCGAUGAGAACGUUUGGUACCUCGAUGUUGCAUCGUCGCAACCUACGGCAGGAGAAGGUCGUAAGGGUUUGGGUGUUCACCAAUGAAAGCGGCACGUGAUGUGAGUUAAGAGCGUCGUGAGACAGUUCGGAUUCUAUCUUCUUGUAACCAUAAGAUUAAGGGGGACUUUAGUACGAAAGGACUAAGGACUACGUAUCACUGGUGUAAGUAUUGCUUCGAGAGGUGCAAGGUAUAAUAGCUACAUACGGAAAGGAGUAUCACUGAAAGCAUAUAGGUGAGAAACAACUUAUGAAAUAUGGGGUAGGUCCAAGAAUAGGACUAAAAAGGUACUCAGAGAUUCGAAAAGAAACGGGUAUCUGAA
This 2312-nucleotide ribosomal RNA is filed under the name Saccostrea glomerata. RNAcentral describes it as "bacterial LSU rRNA". It matches the Rfam family "Bacterial large subunit ribosomal RNA". Lineage: Eukaryota; Metazoa; Mollusca; Bivalvia; Ostreida; Ostreidae. The record is from RNAcentral.